UUGGAAUAUCAGUGUGAAACCACUGUUGUCGUGGCGCAGUUGAGUACAACACCAUGUUCGAUGAGAAGUUUUGCAGUGAUAAACAUUCUUUUUUUCUUCGAACACUCUUGCUUGUACUGCUGUGAAUGUUCUUGUACUGUAGCAGGAUUACGGUACCUGCUCCCUAAAGAGUUGGAGAAUGUCUUAAUGAAUUGUUUCCAAACAAGUGGAUUGAGUGUGGAUCAGAGGCAGCUUAGACUCACCCCACUUAGCCACCAAGAAGCCCUGACUUGCCCACUCUAGAUAACUCUUUGUGGGGGUUUCAUUAAAGAUAAAAUCAGACAAUAGCAUUAUUGAACAAUGGCCAAACUGCAGGCUGCUAUGACAGAAGCAUUCAGAAGUAUCACAGAAGAUUUUCUCUGCAAAACUUCUCACUGAACAUGAUGUCGUGUUCAAUUGUGUUAUGAUAACAGUGGUGCACAUGCUGAUAUUCUAGAUGCGUAGUGUUCAAU
This 491-nucleotide long non-coding RNA is filed under the name Androctonus crassicauda. The record is from RNAcentral. Lineage: Eukaryota; Metazoa; Arthropoda; Arachnida; Scorpiones; Buthidae.